Molecule: ribosomal RNA, 480 nt
Filed under: uncultured microorganism
Description: bacterial SSU rRNA
Rfam family: Bacterial small subunit ribosomal RNA
Source: RNAcentral
GAGUUUGAUCCUGGCUCAGAACGAACGCUGGCGGCGUGGAUAAGACAUGCAAGUCGAACGGGAGAAUUGCUAGCUUGCUAAUAAUUCUCUAGCGGCGCACGGGUGAGUAACACGUGAGUAACCUGCCCCCGAGAGCGGGAUAGCCCUGGGAAACUGGGAUUAAUACCGCAUAGUAUCGAAAGAUUAAAGCAGCAAUGCGCUUGGGGAUGGGCUCGCGGCCUAUUAGUUAGUUGGUGAGGUAACGGCUCACCAAGGCGAUGACGGGUAGCCGGUCUGAGAGGAUGUCCGGCCACACUGGAACUGAGACACGGUCCAGACACCUACGGGUGGCAGCAGUCGAGAAUCAUUCACAAUGGGGGAAACCCUGAUGGUGCGACGCCGCGUGGGGGAAUGAAGGUCUUCGGAUUGUAAACCCCUGUCAUGUGGGAGCAAAUUAAAAAGAUAGUACCACAAGAGGAAGAGACGGCUAACUCUGUGCCA